UUGCUCCCCCCCCUCCCCAUUGUCCCCACAGGCCCAGAUGUGGCAGGGGGCCAGCCCAGCCCCAUGGCAGAGGGCACCCCAGGACCCCAGAGCCUCCCCACCAGGCGGGGGCCUGGGCGGCCGCCCACCUUCGCUGGGCUCUUCAGCACUGUGGGACCCCGUCUGCAGGACUGGGUGGAGGUGCUGAGGGCCAUGGCGGGGGGGAGCCACCCCAACUUGGCCAGGGAGCAGCUCCCCGGGGAGACGUGGCUCUUCCUGCAGCAGGGCGAGGAGGCGGUGGAGGAGCUGGUGGGCCAGGGCAGAGCCUUCCUCACCCAGCUGCAGGCAGAGUUGGGCCUCAGCACCCCCCUUGAAGCCACGGAGCCGCGACAAGCACCUGGAGACCCAGCAGGGACCCCAGUGCUGAACCUUGAGCCCCAGGAGGCAGGGUCCACAGCGGGUGGUCACCUGAGGGAGAAACGCGACCUGGUACCCACAUUGCCCGGGGUGGAGGAGGAGGAGGCAGGCGAGGGCCAAGGUAAGCGCCCUGGCCACUGUGGGAACGGGUGCCAGUGUACCCAGAGGGACCCGCACCAGGUCACCUGCUGCCCCCAGCCAUGGUGGCAAGCCUGGCUUCUGCUUUCCACCCUGGUGCCGGGGCUACUUAUGCUGUGGGUCAUGACAGCUAUCUCAUGUCCCUGGAGAUCCUCUCCCCCAUUCCCUUGGCUUCUCAAGGUGGCCAGGGAAGAGCCCAGGCAUU
Molecule: long non-coding RNA, 739 nt
Filed under: Struthio camelus australis
Lineage: Eukaryota; Metazoa; Chordata; Aves; Struthioniformes; Struthionidae
Description: lncRNA (ENSSCUG00000014140.1)
Source: RNAcentral